RNAcentral lists this ribosomal RNA (301 nucleotides) under uncultured bacterium. RNAcentral's name for it is "partial 16S ribosomal RNA". It matches the Rfam family "Bacterial small subunit ribosomal RNA", at positions 509 to 808 of the family's 1533-position model. The record is from RNAcentral.
CAGUCGCCACGGUAAUACGAAGGGUGCAAGCGUUAAUCGGAAUUACUGGGCGUAAAGCGUGCGUAGGCGGUGAGUUAAGUCUGCUGUGAAAUCCCCGGGCUCAACCUGGGAAUGGCAGUGGAUACUGGCAAGCUAGAGUGUGUCAGAGGAUGGUGGAAUUCCCGGUGUAGCGGUGAAUGCGUAGAGAUCGGGAGGAACAUCAGUGGCGAAGGCGGCCAUCUGGGACAACACUGACGCUGAGGCACGAAAGCGUGGGGAGCAAACAGGAUUAGAUACCCGUGUAGUCCCUGUCUCUUAUACA